This 305-nucleotide ribosomal RNA is filed under the name uncultured bacterium. Its description in RNAcentral is "bacterial SSU rRNA". It matches the Rfam family "Bacterial small subunit ribosomal RNA", at positions 334 to 637 of the family's 1533-position model. The record is from RNAcentral.
AAAGCCUACGGGAGGCAGCAGUGAGGAAUAUUGGUCAAUGGGCGCGAGCCUGAACCAGCCAAGCCGCGUGAGGGAUGAAGGUACAGAGUAUCGUAAACCUCUUUUGUCAGGGAACAAAGGCGGGGACGCGUCCCCGGAUGAGUGUACCUGAAGAAAAAGCAUCGGCUAACUCCGUGCCAGCAGCCGCGGUAAUACGGAGGAUGCGAGCGUUAUCCGGAUUUAUUGGGUUUAAAGGGUGCGCAGGCGGUCUGUUAAGUCAGCGGUCAAAGCCCGGGGCUCAACCCCGGCCCGCCGUUGAGACUGGC